This 301-nucleotide ribosomal RNA is filed under the name uncultured bacterium. RNAcentral's name for it is "partial 16S ribosomal RNA". It matches the Rfam family "Bacterial small subunit ribosomal RNA", at positions 509 to 807 of the family's 1533-position model. The record is from RNAcentral.
CAGUCGCCACGGUAAUACGUAGAUGGCAAGCGUUGUCCGGAAUUAUUGGGCGUAAAGCGUGCGCAGGCGGUUCGUUAAGACAGAUGUGAAAUCCCCGGGCUUAUCCUGGGAACUGCAUUUGUGACUGGCGGGCUAGAGUAUGGCAGAGGGGGGUAGAAUUCCACGUGUAGCAGUGAAAUGCGUAGAGAUGUGGAGGAAUACCGAUGGCGAAGGCAGCCCCCUGGGCCAAUACUGACGCUCAUGCACGAAAGCGUGGGGAGCAAACAGGAUUAGAUACCCCCGUAGUCCCUGUCUCUUAUAC